Molecule: ribosomal RNA, 465 nt
Filed under: uncultured Weissella sp.
Lineage: Bacteria; Bacillati; Bacillota; Bacilli; Lactobacillales; Lactobacillaceae
Description: bacterial SSU rRNA
Rfam family: Bacterial small subunit ribosomal RNA
Source: RNAcentral
CCUACGGGUGGCAGCAGUAGGGAAUCUUCCACAAUGGACGAAAGUCUGAUGGAGCAACGCCGCGUGUGUGAUGAAGGGUUUCGGCUCGUAAAACACUGUUGUAAGAGAAGAAUGACAUUGAGAGUAACUGUUCAGUGUGUGACGGUAUCUUACCAGAAAGGAACGGCUAAAUACGUGCCAGCAGCCGCGGUAAUACGUAUGUUCCAAGCGUUAUCCGGAUUUAUUGGGCGUAAAGCGAGCGCAGGCGGUUGUUUAAGGCGUAAGGGAAAGUCGACAGCUUAACUGUAGAUUUGCAUUGGAAACUGGAUAAGUAGAGUGCGGUAGAGGAAAUAGGAACUGCGUGUGUAGCGGUGAAAUGCGUUGAUAUAUGGAAGAACACCAGUGGCGAAGACGGCUCUCUGGACUGUAACUGACGUUGAGGCUCGAAAGUGUGGGUAGCAAACAGGAUUAGAUACCCCAGUAGUC